This is a transfer RNA of Ovis aries (sheep), 72 nucleotides long. It matches the Rfam family "tRNA". From Rfam's summary of the family: Transfer RNA (tRNA) molecules are approximately 80 nucleotides in length. Their secondary structure includes four short double-helical elements and three loops (D, anti-codon, and T loops). The record is from Rfam. NCBI's taxonomy places the organism in Eukaryota, Metazoa, Chordata, Mammalia, Artiodactyla, Bovidae.
UCCCUGGUGGCUCAGAGGUUAAAGCAUCUGCCUGGAAUGCGGGAGAACCGGGUUCGAUCCCUGGGUUGGGAA